ACUCAAAUGAAUUGACGGGGACCCGCACAAGCGGUGGAGCAUGUGGUUUAAUUCGAAGCAACGCGAAGAACCUUACCAAGGCUUGACAUGGAGAUGAUCGCGCUAGAGAUAGCGCUUCCUACGGGCAUCUCACACAGGUGGUGCAUGGUUGUCGUCAGCUCGUGUCGUGAGAUGUUGGGUUAAGUCCCGCAACGAGCGCAACCCUUAUUUUUAGUAGCCAUCAGGUAACGCUGGGCACACUAGAGAGACUGCCGUGGAUAACACGGAGGAAGGUGGGGACGACGUCAAAUCAUCAUGCCCCUUAUGUCUUGGGCUACACACGUGCUACAAUGGCUGAUACAAAGUGACGCAAACCCGCGAGGGCAAGCCAAUCACAAAAAAACAGCCUCAGUUCGGAUUGUAGGCUGCAACCCGCCUACAUGAAGUUGGAAUCGCUAGUAAUCGCGAAUCAGCAUGUCGCGGUGAAUACGUUCCCGGGUCUUGUACACACCGCCCGU
RNAcentral lists this ribosomal RNA (497 nucleotides) under uncultured bacterium. RNAcentral describes it as "bacterial SSU rRNA". It matches the Rfam family "Bacterial small subunit ribosomal RNA", at positions 899 to 1397 of the family's 1533-position model. The record is from RNAcentral.